UACGGGGGUGGCAAGCGUUGUUCGGAAUUACUGGGCGUAAAGGGCGCGUAGGCGGGGAGGUAAGUCGGGUGUGAAAUCCUACAGCUUAACUGUAGAACUGCCUCCGAUACUGGUUGUCUCGAGGAAGGUAGGGGCGUACGGAACAGUUGGUGGAGCGGUGAAAUGCGUUGAUAUCAACUGGAACUCCGGUGGCGAAGGCGGUACGCUGGACCUUUUCUGACGCUGAGGCGCGAAAGCCAGGGGAGCAAACGGG
Molecule: ribosomal RNA, 253 nt
Filed under: uncultured bacterium
Lineage: Bacteria
Description: partial 16S ribosomal RNA
Rfam family: Bacterial small subunit ribosomal RNA
Source: RNAcentral